Molecule: ribosomal RNA, 482 nt
Filed under: uncultured bacterium
Lineage: Bacteria
Description: partial 16S ribosomal RNA
Rfam family: Bacterial small subunit ribosomal RNA
Source: RNAcentral
GACGAACGCUGGCGGCGUGCCUAACACAUGCAAGUCGAACGGAACUGUUUUGAAAGAUUUCUUCGGAAUGAAUUUGAUUUAGUUUAGUGGCGGACGGGUGAGUAACGCGUGAGUAACCUGCCUUCAAGAGGGGAAUAACAUUCUGAAAAGAAUGCUAAUACCGCAUGACAUAUCGGAACCACAUGGUUUUGAUAUCAAAGAUUUUAUCGCUUGAAGAUGGACUCGCGUCCGAUUAGUUAGUUGGUGAGGUAACGGCUCACCAAGACCGCGAUCGGUAGCCGGACGGAGAGGUUGAACGGCCACAUUGGGACUGAGACACGGCCCAGACUCCUACGGGAGGCAGCAGUGGGGGAUAUUGCGCAAGGGGGGCAACCCUGACGCAGCAACGCCGCGUGAAGGAUGAAGGUUUUCGGAUUGUAAAAUUCUUUUAUUAAGGACGAAAAAUGACGGUACUUAAUGAAUAAGCUCCGGCUAACUACGUG